This 398-nucleotide ribosomal RNA is filed under the name uncultured bacterium. Its description in RNAcentral is "bacterial SSU rRNA". It matches the Rfam family "Bacterial small subunit ribosomal RNA", at positions 28 to 429 of the family's 1533-position model. The record is from RNAcentral.
GACGAACGCUGGCGGCGUGCUUAACACAUGCAGGUCGAGCGGUAAGGCCCUUUCGGGGGUACACGAGCGGCGAACGGGUGAGUAACACGUGGGUGACCUGCCCUCAGCUCUGGGAUAAGCCUGGGAAACUGGGUCUAAUACUGGAUAUGACUCCACGGUGCAUGUCGUGGGGUGGAAAGCCUUGUGCGGCUGAGGAUGGGCCCGCGGCCUAUCAGCUUGUUGGUGGGGUGANGGCCUACCAAGGCGACGACGGGUAGCCGGCCUGAGAGGGCGACCGGCCACACUGGGACUGAGACACGGCCCAGACUCCUACGGGAGGCAGCAGUGGGGAAUCUUGCGCAAUGGGCGAAAGCCUGACGCAGCGACGCCGCGUGAGGGAUGACGGCCUCGGUUGUAAC